RNAcentral lists this ribosomal RNA (495 nucleotides) under uncultured bacterium. RNAcentral's name for it is "partial 16S ribosomal RNA". It matches the Rfam family "Bacterial small subunit ribosomal RNA", at positions 28 to 507 of the family's 1533-position model. The record is from RNAcentral.
GACGAACGCUGGCGGCGUGCCUAAUACGUGCAGGUAGAACGCUGAAGGAGGAGCUUGCUUCUCUGGAUGAGUUGCGAACGGGUGAGUAACGCGUAGGUAACCUGCCUGGUAGCGGGGGAUAACUAUUGGAAACGAUAGCUAAUACCGCAUAAGAGUAGAUGUCGCAUGACAUUUGCUUAAAAGGUGCAAUUGCAUCACUACCAGAUGGACCUGCGUUGUAUUAGCUAGUUGGUGAGGUAACGGCUCACCAAGGCAACGAUACAUAGCCGACCUGAGAGGGUGAGCGGCCACACUGGGACUGGGACACGGCCCAGACUCCUACGGGAGGCAGCAGUAGGGAAUCUUCGGCAAUGGACGGAAGUCUGACCGAGCAACGCCGCGUGAGUGAAGAAGGUUUUCGGAUCGUAAAGCUCUGUUGUAAGAGAAGAACGAGUGUGAGAGUGGAAAGUUCACACUGUGACGGUAUCUUACCAGAAAGGGACGGCUAACUACGUG